CCGAAAGGGGUACUAAUACCGGAUAUUCUUUGCUUUUCAUAAGUUAUGCAAGCAAAGGUGGCCUCUGCAUAUGCUACUGCAUGGAAGAGGGGUCUGCGUACCAUUAGCUAGGUAGGUGGGGUAAUGGCCUACCUAGGCGACGAUGGUUAGCGGGUCUGAGAGGAUGAUCCGCCACACUGGCACUGGAACACGGGCCAGACUCCUACGGGAGGCAGCAGUGAGGAAUAUUGCGCAAUGGGGGAAACCCUGACGCAGCGACGCCGCGUGAAGCGAGGAAGGCCUUCGGGUCGUAAAGCUCUGUCAAGAGGAAAGAAGUGUACAAUGGCUAAUACCUGUUGUAUUUGACGGUACCUCUAAAGGAAGCACCGGCUAACUCCGUGCCAGCCGCUGC
This 391-nucleotide ribosomal RNA is filed under the name uncultured bacterium. RNAcentral's name for it is "bacterial SSU rRNA". It matches the Rfam family "Bacterial small subunit ribosomal RNA", at positions 151 to 518 of the family's 1533-position model. The record is from RNAcentral.